Molecule: ribosomal RNA, 152 nt
Filed under: Cladonia steyermarkii
Lineage: Eukaryota; Fungi; Ascomycota; Lecanoromycetes; Lecanorales; Cladoniaceae
Description: 5.8S ribosomal RNA
Rfam family: 5.8S ribosomal RNA
About the family: 5.8S ribosomal RNA (5.8S rRNA) is a component of the large subunit of the eukaryotic ribosome. It is transcribed by RNA polymerase I as part of the 45S precursor that also contains 18S and 28S rRNA.
Source: RNAcentral
CUUUCAACAACGGAUCUCUUGGUUCUGGCAUCGAUGAAGAACGCAGCGAAAUGCGAUAAGUAAUGUGAAUUGCAGAAUUCAGUGAAUCAUCGAAUCUUUGAACGCACAUUGCGCCCCUGGAUAUUCCGGGGGGCAUGCCUGUUCGAGCGUCA